GACGAACGCUGGCGGCGUGCCUAAUACAUGCAAGUGGGACGCAAGGAAACACACUGUGCUUGCACACCGUGUUUUCUUGAGUCGCGAACGGGUGAGUAACGCGUAGGUAACCUGCCUAUUAGCGGGGGAUAACUAUUGGAAACGAUAGCUAAUACCGCAUAAUAUUAAUUAUUGCAUGAUAAUUGAUUGAAAGAUGCAAGCGCAUCACUAGUAGAUGGACCUGCGUUGUAUUAGCUAGUUGGUAAGGUAAGAGCUUACCAAGGCGACGAUACAUAGCCGACCUGGGAGGGUGAUCGGCCACACUGGGACUGAGACACGGCCCAGACUCCUACGGGAGGCAGCCGUAGGGAAUCUUCGGAAAUGGGCGAAAGUCUGACCGAGCAACGCCGCGUGAGUGAAGAAGGGUUUCGGGUCGUAAAGCUCGGUUGUAAGUCAAGAACGUGUGUGAGAGUGGAAAGUUCACACAGUGACGGUAGCUUACCAGAAAGGGACGGCUAACUACGUG
Molecule: ribosomal RNA, 505 nt
Filed under: uncultured bacterium
Lineage: Bacteria
Description: partial 16S ribosomal RNA
Rfam family: Bacterial small subunit ribosomal RNA
Source: RNAcentral